GUGGAAUUAGCUCAGGUGGUUAGAGUGCCAGGUUGUGGCCCUGGAGGCCGUGGGUUCGAAUCCCAUAUUCCACCCCA
RNAcentral lists this transfer RNA (77 nucleotides) under Bacillota bacterium. RNAcentral describes it as "tRNA-His". It matches the Rfam family "tRNA". From Rfam's summary of the family: Transfer RNA (tRNA) molecules are approximately 80 nucleotides in length. The record is from RNAcentral. RNAcentral also lists the same sequence under 2 other names. Lineage: Bacteria; Bacillati; Bacillota.